AGCAGUUUGCAGGCUAGUUCAUAGAUAGGAGUACACACCGUGUAGGAGUAAAUGGGAGCUUCACAGAGACUUCAAUGACCCUGUUGGGUAGAAUGACUGCUUGAACUGACUGAUGUGUCCUGUUUCUAAAGCUGAACCCAGUAAGUACCAACGCCAGGAACAGAGACAAAACCCACCAUUUGAAAGAUAGAGAAUCUACAGGAACCCAACAUCUGGAAGACAAAGACCCUAUAGAAACCAGCAACUCCACCAUUGUAUCCCAGCAAUGAAGACGCCUGGAUCUGCACGUAUGCAUCUGAGCAGGACUGGACUUUCCUGGACAUGUCCUUCCCAUAGGAGACGCAGGUAGCCCACCCCUAUAAAAGGGAUGGUAGAGUGUGACCUCUUUGGGACACCCGCUCCACCUGGACCAGCACUACGCCACAUCACCUAUCCAUCCAGAGGCCCUGUCAGUGACCCCCUCUGGACAAAACCUUGCUGGAGAAGACCCCAAGGGGCCAUCAAGGAUCAACUCACAGCCCAGAAUGGGUAGCUAUCACUCACCUUCCUUCCCCAAGCAAAGAGCCUGGACUCUGUCUCCACACACCUUGACGCCAAUCCCUCCACCAAGCCUUUCCUCACUUGCUACCAUUGUGUGUGUGACAGUGUCUGUGUGUGUAAGAACCAAUAAUGUUGUGGGGCUCUAUAGUGUGCUGCCUGAUUUAAUAUAACUGUUAUUUUGAAACGCUGAGUUGGGCUUUUGUCUUAUUAACCUCCCGGCCCUCCUCCUUGAUUUCCUGGCUUUCUCUCUCAGUUCUUUCUGCCUCAUUUUCCAGCCCCAGUCUCCCAGCUUUCUGCCUCUAUUUCCUAGCUGUUGUCUCCUUUCCACCACCACACCAGGUGACCCUGAGUAACCCUGGUUCUUCAAUUAACCUUAAGUAACCCCAAGCCCCAGUGACCCUGAGUAACCCUGGGGCACAUUAACCUCAAGUGACCCGGAGCACCAAGUUACCCCAAACCCCCCCAGCAGUGUUCACAAGAAGUGUGUGAGUGAACUCAUAGUGAUGUAUGGGGGGGGUGUGCGUGUGUGUAAUUUUGUAUCACGCCCUCCUGUCUAACAGCACAGUAUUGAGAUCCUGAGUGUUGAUCUGUCAUGUGUCAAGUCAACAGUGUUAGUGCUAACUCAAUUUUGGAGCAUUCACACCUUCAGGCUAAAAACUGUCCCUGACCUGCACAGCUGUGUCUUGCCACUAGAGGGCUGGUGAGCAGGGACUGGUCUAGGUGCUAUAGCUGAGAUGCCACUGGAGAGUUAGAGAGUUUUAUGAUAGGCUUCUAUUCUUGCUGUAGCUUUAGCUUAAUAGGGUGGGGGUUAGUAAUGAAAUAAGUGGCAAGGAAAUGAGGAUGGGGGAUGGGUGGUGAAACAAAGUAAGUCAGGAACUGAAGGACAAAAUAACAAGUAAAAAAAAAAAAAGAAUUUUAAA
Long non-coding RNA from Alligator mississippiensis (American alligator), 1460 nucleotides. RefSeq lists it as uncharacterized. The record is from RefSeq and is a predicted model, not a curated record. NCBI's taxonomy places the organism in Eukaryota, Metazoa, Chordata, Crocodylia, Alligatoridae. The transcript has 3 exons.